This 495-nucleotide ribosomal RNA is filed under the name uncultured bacterium. RNAcentral's name for it is "partial 16S ribosomal RNA". It matches the Rfam family "Bacterial small subunit ribosomal RNA", at positions 28 to 505 of the family's 1533-position model. The record is from RNAcentral.
GAUGAACGCUGGCGGCGUGCCUAAUACAUGCAAGUCGAGCGAACAGACGAGGAGCUUGCUCCUCUGACGUUAGCGGCGGACGGGUGAGUAACACGUGGAUAACCUACCUAUAAGACUGGGAUAACUUCGGGAAACCGGAGCUAGUACCGGAUAAUAUAUUGAACCGCAUGGUUCAAUAGUGAAAGACGGUUUUGCUGUCACUUAUAGAUGGAUCCGCGCCGCAUUAGCUAGUUGGUAAGGUAACGGCUUACCAAGGCAACGAUGCGUAGCCGACCUGAGAGGGGGAUCGGCCACACUGGAACUGAGACACGGUCCAGACUCCUACGGGAGGCAGCAGUAGGGAAUCUUCCGCAAGGGGCGAAAGCUUGACGGAGCAACGCCGCGUGAGUGAUGAAGGUCUUCGGAUCGUAAAACUCUGUUAUUAGGGAAGAACAAAUGUGUAAGUAACUAUGCACGUCUUGACGGUACUUAAUCAGAAAGCCACGGCUAACUACG